RNAcentral lists this ribosomal RNA (245 nucleotides) under uncultured bacterium. Its description in RNAcentral is "partial 16S ribosomal RNA". It matches the Rfam family "Bacterial small subunit ribosomal RNA", at positions 524 to 768 of the family's 1533-position model. The record is from RNAcentral.
UACAGAGGUCCCGAGCGUUGUUCGGAUUCACUGGGCGUAAAGGGUGCGUAGGUGGUCGGGUAAGUCGGAUGUGAAAUCUCGGAGCUCAACUCCGGAACGGCAUUGGAAACUACCUGGCUUGAGGAUUGGAAGGGGGACUGGAAUUCUCGGUGUAGCAGUGAAAUGCGUAGAUAUCGAGAGGAACACCUGUGGCGAAGGCGAGUCCCUGGACAAUCCCUGACACUGAGGCACGAAAGCUAGGGGAG